AGCAGCCGCGGUAAUUCCAGCUCCAAUAGCGUAUAUUAAAGUUGUUGCAGUUAAAAGCUCGUAGUUGAAUUUCGGGAUCAAAUUGUUGGUCGUGCUUCGGUACGCACUGGCAUUAUUGGUUCCUACCUUCUGAAGAACCGCGAUGUCAUUAAUUUGGUGUCGUGGGGAAUCAGGACUGUUACUUUGAAAAAUUAGAGUGUUUAAAGUAGGCGUACGCUUGAAUACAUUAGCAUGGAAUAAUGAAAUAGGACGUUUGAUUCUAUUUUGUUGGUUUCUAGGAUCGACGUAAUGAUUAAUAGGGAUAGUUGGGGGCAUUAGUAUUCAAUUGUCAGAGGUGAAAUUCUUGGAUUUAUUGAAGACUAACUACUGCGAAAGCAUUUGCCAAGGAUGUUUUCAUUAAUCAAGAACGAAAGUUAGGGGAUCGAAGACGAUCAGAUACCGUCGUAGUCUUAACCAUAAACUAUGCCGACUAGGGAUCGGAUGAUGUUAAUUUUUAAUGACUCAUUCGGCGCCUUACGGG
RNAcentral lists this ribosomal RNA (520 nucleotides) under uncultured Glomus. Its description in RNAcentral is "SSU rRNA". It matches the Rfam family "Eukaryotic small subunit ribosomal RNA", at positions 569 to 1094 of the family's 1831-position model. Lineage: Eukaryota; Fungi; Glomeromycota; Glomeromycetes; Glomerales; Glomeraceae. The record is from RNAcentral.